GGAAACCCCAGGUCAGGCGGGACUACCCG
This 29-nucleotide ribosomal RNA is filed under the name Arrhenatherum elatius. Its description in RNAcentral is "partial 26S ribosomal RNA". The record is from RNAcentral. Lineage: Eukaryota; Viridiplantae; Streptophyta; Magnoliopsida; Poales; Poaceae.